RNAcentral lists this ribosomal RNA (258 nucleotides) under uncultured bacterium. Its description in RNAcentral is "partial 16S ribosomal RNA". It matches the Rfam family "Bacterial small subunit ribosomal RNA", at positions 524 to 776 of the family's 1533-position model. The record is from RNAcentral.
UACGUAGGUGGCAAGCGUUUGUCCGGAAUUAUUGGGCGUAAAGCGCGCGCAGGCGGUCCUUUUAAGUCUGAUGUGAAAGCCCACGGCUCAACCGUGGAGGGUCAUUGGAAACUGGGGGGACUUGAGUGCAGGAGAGAAAAGUGGAAUUCCACGUGUAGCGGUGAAAUGCGUAGAGAUGUGGAGGAACACCAGUGGCGAAGGCGACUCUUUGGCCUGUAACUGACGCUGAGGCGCGAAAAGCGUGGGGGAGCAAACAGG